GAAAUAGGAAAGAUGGAAUCUAAACAUUGGGGAUUGUUCUCUAAACCUAACAAAUGUAGCUUUACGGAAAACUGACCACAUUGUCCUUUUGUCUUCAUUUUGAUGCCAACCAAGGAAAGUGUCAUCAUGGACAGCAUUUGGGAAAUAAACCUAGAGGACAAUUUGGAAUUCCAGGAUUGUUUCCUUGAGUGAAAUCAAGAUCCUUGGGCUGCACUAUGUUAUCUCCAAAUUGACCCUGAGACCUAAGGAUUUCCAUCGAGAGGCACAAAAGAGAAGCAACAAUUGCACUUGAUCAAACCAGAUUUGAUAAAAGUAAGAAGCGUGUAUCCAGACGACUACCUAGGAAUCCCUUCACAUAUGCUGGCUGUGUUGCUGAGCUACCUGCCUGAUCAUCUGGACUCCUUUGGUCUUCCUUUGCUUGUCACGAUCAAAGAGGAUCAAUGUCAAGCCUCUCUGGCCUUCGGGAUGAGCCCAUCUAGGCGAACUUCUGCUGAGACAGGCCUGCAGGAUCUUCAUGUUGGUCCCAGGUUGCUGUGUGAGGGCGGCACCAACCCAGACCCUCCAUCUUGGCAUCUUGCUCUUACUCACCAAAGAAUUCUGCAAUAGAACACGGGGCCCUAUCUGCGUGCCCCCUCUUCUGUGGCAGAGGUAAAUAUUCCAUUGCUGCCAAAGUUUCUAUUCAAGAUGGCUUGAAGAUGCCCACCAACCAGUUUGUCUACCUGUGCACAUGCCAAGAUCAUGAGGGCUCUUACCCCUGGCUGGGCUACAUGGAGGCAGAGGUACCAAGAGAUCCAGGACUCUUUUUCCAAGAGUGGUCCAAUUCCAGAUACUAGGUCUCCUUUAGAUGCCAGCUUCUGACCUGCUUCCUCCUGGCCUAGGCCUUCCUUUAUUCAUGGCUGACAUUACUUGCUUUGGAAGCAAACAUCAAAAGAACCGGGGUGUCCGGGCGGCUCUGUUGAACGUCUGACUCUUGGUUUCAGCUCAGGUCAUGAUUGCACGGUUCCUGGGAUCGAUCCCUGCAUCGAGCUCUGUGCUGCUGGUGCGGAGCCUGCUUGGGAUUCUCUCUUUCCCUCUCUCUCUGCCCCUCCCCCAUUCAUGCUCUCUCAAAAUAAAUAAAUAAAAUGUAAAAUAUAUAUAUGUAUCAAAAGGCCCUACCCUAGGAUACCUCUGGCCCAAGCACAGAGCCUGGAUCUCAUUCAUCAUCAUAAAGGACAGUGGACAGUGUAGGGUACCUGAAGGCCUUGGGCUUUCAGAUCAUGCAGACCUGAGUGUGAACUCUGGCUUCACUGUGCGCCCACUGGGAGGUUGGGUGAUUUAGCGAAAUGCUCUGCACUUCAAGUUCCUCAUUUGUUAGCAGGGAUUUAUAGUCUGCUUUGCACAGGCUUUGGCUGAAGAUGAAAUGUGACAGCUGUGUAAAGCUUAAAUAUGGUCCCUGGCACAUAGUCAGUGAUAAGUACCCCCCCACCCCGACUCUGAGGCUCUGCCCGGACCCUUGCCUGAGCUCCUGCUUCCUUUUUCUGUGCCCCUUAGUAUCUUACUUAAUUCCUGUCACAGGAGGUAUUUGGGCCUAUUUUCUGAGCAAGUGCCAGCCCCACACCACCAUUUCUACCUCCUUCUGCCCCACUUCCACCCUUCACUUCUAGGUCUGUGGAGCCAAACCUGAGGGUCUGGACUCCUGCUAGAUGGGACCCUAUGUCCCAGGGACACGGAAGAUCCAAACACAGUCCUCUGGCAGACUCUGCACUAUUAACUACUGAUUUGAGGGCAGUGAAUCCCCUGUGGUCUGUCUAGGGGGCAGGUGAUCAAGACUGUGGCAACAAGAGCGUUAGACCUUGCUGCUCAAAGUGUGCUCUGUGGACAGCAGCACUGGCAUCACCUGCGAGCUUGUUAGAAAUGCAGAAUCCUGGGCCACUGAAUUAGAAUCUGCGUCUUAACAAGAUCUCCAGUGAUCCAUUUUUCGGUGGAUAUCAAGGCUUGAGAAGCCCUGGACUGGACCCCAGAAGACAAGGGCCCCGGGAAUCAUUUCUACAAGAGAACGUGGAUUCUCCAUUCCAGGGAUGAGCAUUGGUUUCUAACAGAGCCUCCAAUAGCCAUUGCAGGACCUGCUGAGCAGCCUUUGUGAAGGAAAGCUCCAAGGAGGACAGGACACAGCACAAUGAGACGCUCAGCACUGACACAGCAUUCUGCACUUUGCACAAUUAAGGCUCUCACCUCUCCUCACCCUGCAGGGAGAAGGUGGCAGUACUGACAGGUCUUGAUGACUGAGGCAGAGGCAGAGAAAAACAGCCAACAGAGCGUUACCUCAGAGAGUGUGUGCUGGGAAUAAGGAGACCAGGAAAAUACAACCAAGAAAAUGAAACAGUCUUGAGCUGACCCUCGAAGCAAAUUUCAUAGGUAGUAUUUCAAUAAUGAGAAGAAAACUUCAUUGUUCUCGCUGAAGAUCCUUGGCCUGCCUUUCCCCUUCUCUCCCCUCCUCCCUUCUGGAAAGAGCUCAGACUAAGAGAGGAGCCUGUCUCUCUUUAAAGAGAGUAUUUGUUUCCAUGGUAACUUGCCUUCUUCAUCUUCAGAGUUGUAAACUGGGAAAUUCUAUUACAGGCUUACCCAGGCAGUUGCUUUUGAAAUGGUGUCUGAUAUUAGCUAUUUGUUUCAUUCACCUUUGCUGCUCAGGAAUCUUUUGAAUUUGGUGAUUCUGUUUCUAUCAAAUGAAGGAAGUAAAAUAAAGCAAUAUGAGCUGAUUAUAAUCGGUCUGAUUGGGCCUGCUGUGCAUUGUCGUCAGGAACUGUCGCUGGCUGUGUUGGUGGAGCCCCUGGGUGACUAUGUGAUGUUUGAGGCCCAGGCCCACCUCCGCACUGAUGCCCGCCAGUGGAGCCCAGCACACAGAGCUGCUUGGGGAUGCCCUGCAAGGUCAGCUGGAGAAGAAACAGAAACUACCUCUGUGGUCAAAAAAUGAUGUCUUGUUAAUGGAUUUCAUGUCUUAUCUAUGAGAUUCCGAUAUGGGCAGGUGGAGUUAUUACACUCCUGCUGUGAAAGCAACUGUAGUUCAAAUAGGUGCAAAUCAAGCAAGUAACCAAAUUAUCUGAGGCUGGUGAUUUUCAUUUCUGUAGUAGCACCAUAGUAUGCUUGGAAGGCUUCAAUUAUUGACUCUUGGAAUAGAAGGUUUUGAGGGUGUUUAUUGACCACUGUGUUUGCUAUGCAUGAAAUCUAUAUGGUUUUUAAUCUUUCUGAACCCUCAAACAAAUGACAUGUAAAUCAGUUUACAGACAGAAAAUCUCUUGAAAGCACCUUUUCUACCCAGGAAACUCAGCUACUUUAUUUCAUAGGAAAGCAACUUCAUGAGAUGAUCCUGGAAAAAAGACAUUCUAUUGGUUUUCCUUUCUUUAAAAAAGCUAAUUGCUAAUCAACAGUUUACCUCCAGCUUCUAAACAGAGUUCUUAGGUGACAUAUUAAUAUUUAAAAAUAUUUAGAUUGGGAUGAUGAAAAAGUUCUGGAAAUGGAGCGCUGUAAAACAAUGCAGAUGUACUUAAUGCUACUGAACUGUAUGCUUAAAAAUGGUAAAAUGGUUAAAAUGGCAAACUUCAUGUCAUGUGUAUUUACCACAGUGAAAAUAGUAUUUAGAAUUUUCCAAUUGGAAAAUACAAAAGUUUUUGCAAUUGCUAAAGAGAAGUACAUUAAGCAAAACACAA
Long non-coding RNA from Felis catus (domestic cat), 3683 nucleotides. RefSeq lists it as uncharacterized. Lineage: Eukaryota; Metazoa; Chordata; Mammalia; Carnivora; Felidae. The transcript has 5 exons. The record is from RefSeq and is a predicted model, not a curated record.